GAGAGAGAGAGAGAGAGGGAAGAGGAAGCUAUAUCCGGCGAUUUGUGGAAGGGUUUAGGAAAAUGCGCGAGUAGAGGCAACAAGGCUGUGGCGCUUUCGAUCGGAGGAUUAGGGUUUGGGGAAGAGCGCAGCGGUGAUGGCGCUCAUGCGCGCCGCCGUUGGUGUGGGGCGCCGGAGGCUCCUCUCGCAUUGCAGCUGUAUGGCCAAUGGAUCGCAUCAGGGCGGCGUGUGGGAAUUGAGGAUGCGCUGCUUCUCCUCGUGGUUACAUCAUCACCAUGAGGCGCAGGAUUAUCUCAGGUCAACUAUGGUUUUUAGAUUUGGUCCGCCUGGACAGUACGUUUCGAGGCGUUUCUACGCUGAUAUGCCUUCGCAUCAGCCUCUUGGAAUGCCGUCUCUUUCUCCAACCAUGACACAGGGAAACAUAGUGAAAUGGAAGAAAAAGGAGGGUGACAAGGUUACUGCCGGAGAUGUGCUUUGCGAAAUUGAAACGGAUAAAGCAACAGUUGACAUGGAAUGCAUGGAAGACGGCUACUUGGCUAAGAUCGUAUUUUCGGACGGUGCAAAAGACAUAAAAGUUGGACAGAUUAUAGCCAUAACUGUCGAAGAACAAGGGGAUAUUGAUAAGUUUAAAGACUACAAAGCUGACGCUCCUGCUGCACCUCCGAAGCCCGCUCCCAAGGAAAGCCCUCCUCCACCGAAACCCACAGAAAGCCCAAAACCGGCUCCGUCGCCCAAGCCUGCUCCAGCUGCAUCUGGUGAUAGGAUCAUAGCCAGCCCCAACGCUAGGAAGUAUGCUCAGGAUAACCAAAUAUCUCUAUCAGGAGUAGCGGGGACGGGGCCUGGAGGUCGGAUCGUCAGAGCGGAUGUAGAGGGCCUGAAAGGUGGCCAGCAAGUACAAGAGCCUCGGCGUGCUGAAACGCCUGGUGAUUCUACUUCGCUGGACUACACGGAUCUACCAAACACACAAAUCAGACGGGUCAUUGCUCAACGCCUUCUUCAAUCAAAGCAAACGAUUCCACAUUAUUAUUUGACCGUGGAUGUUCGUGUUGACAAGCUCCUUGCACUAAGGACUCAGUUGAAUGCCAAGCUGGAGAAGGAGAAAAGGAAAAAGCUUUCUGUUAACGAUUUCGUUUUGAAGGCUGCGGCGUUAGCGCUGAAGAAGGUUCCAGAGUGUAAUAGCUCGUGGACUGACGAGUUUAUCAGGCAGUUUCACAACAUAAAUAUCAGCGUUGCUGUACAAACGGAGCGGGGUUUGAUGGUUCCAGUUGUAAAGGAUGCUGAUAAGAAAGGGUUGGGAGCUAUUUCGGACGAUGUAAGAACGUUGGCGGAGAAGGCUAGGGAGAACACACUGAAGCCUAGUGACUACGAUGGUGGCACGUUCACGGUCUCGAACUUGGGUGGACCAUUUGGUAUCAAACAAUUUUGUGCUAUCAUCAAUCCGCCACAGUCGUGCAUUCUUGCCGUCGGCACGACUGACAAGAGAGUGAUUCCUGGUGAGAACGAUGGCGAGUACACAGCGGCUACAUUCAUGUCUGCUACUUUGAGCUGUGAUCACAGAGUUGUGGAUGGCGCAAUUGGAGCGCACUGGCUCGGUGCGUUCAAAGGCUACAUCGAGGACCCCAUGACUUUGCUACUAUAGUGGAGCUCUGGCGAUGGCGAUAAGAAGGAAAUAAAAAUGGACACGAGAAAAUAACCGCGACUCGAACUGGAUCGGCAUUUGUGAAUUUUUCUUCGUCAAUAAAAACCCAUUGGAGCUAUGUACGGCAAAUACGCAUGAUGUUGUACGGAAGAAGUUUCCGAAGAACCCUAAAUCUCUAAUGUGGAAGAAAAUGCCGACCUAGAUUUUGAUUUUCUAUGGAUCAGGCGGGUGUCUCUCUGGGAUCAGCGUACAAGGCGCUGGGAUUGACCCCGAGCGCGAGCGCGAGCGAGGUCAAGGCGGCGUACAGGCGCUUAGCUUUGAAAUGCCAUCCCGAUUUGAGCCCCAACAAUCACGGAGAAUUCCAGCGCCUCUCGGCCGCGUACCAGCGAAUUAUAAACAGGGCUCCACAGGAGGAGCUCCAGAUCAACACGAGCCACUUUGCUAGCGGCGGCGGAGGUGGCGGCGGCGAGGCGGAGGAGAGGUUGCGAUCGUUUGGCUACCGCCAGGCGAAUCGCUCGGAGCAAAUGCCGAUCAUGCGGACGGUGUUUAGCCGGCCUGUGACGGUGGGAGUGUUCGCCACCAUCGCCUUCGCGAUUUGUGGCGGAGGAGUGGUGGCGUUUAGCUUGAGCCGCCAGGACAAGCGAAGAAUCGGAGUCAUCUCCAGGAAUACCGAUCAAGAGCUCGUUGCUAGCUAGCUCGAUUUCGCGAAGCUCUUGGAGAGGACAUGGCAGUGCGGCGGGUCGAUCCGGUUGUAGUAGUUUUGGAUCGUGUCCACGAUUUGGAAGCCGGCUCGCUGGUAGAAG
Molecule: RNA transcript, 2442 nt
Organism: Selaginella moellendorffii
Lineage: Eukaryota; Viridiplantae; Streptophyta; Lycopodiopsida; Selaginellales; Selaginellaceae
Gene name: dihydrolipoyllysine-residue acetyltransferase component 2 of pyruvate dehydrogenase complex, mitochondrial
Exons: 19
Source: RefSeq, a predicted model, not a curated record